CUGAACCAGCCAUGCCGCGUGCAGGAAGAAGGCCUUCUGGGUUGUAAACUGCUUUUGCCAGGGGCUAAAAAGUCCAUGCGUGGAAAAUUGAAAGUACCUGGUGAAUAAGCCACGGCUAACUACGUGCCAGCAGCCGCGGUAAUACGUAGGUGGCAAGCGUUGUCCGGAUUUAUUGGGUUUAAAGGGUGCGUAGGCGGCCCUGUAAGUCAGUGCUGAAAUAUCCCGGCUUAACCGGGAGGGUGGCAUUGAUACUGCGGGGCUAGAGUACAGAUGAGGUAGGCGGAAUUGACGGUGUAGCGGUGAAAUGCUUAGAUAUCGUCAAGAACACCUAUAGCGAAGGCAGCUUACUAGGCUGUAACUGACGCUGAGGCACGAAAGUGUGGGGAUCAAACAGGAUUAGAUACCCUGGUAGUCCACACUGUAAACGUUGAUUACUCGCUGUGUGCGAUAUACAGUACGCGGCCAAGCGAAAGCGCUAAGUAAUCCACCUGGGGAGUACGCCG
Molecule: ribosomal RNA, 503 nt
Filed under: uncultured Bacteroidota bacterium
Lineage: Bacteria; Pseudomonadati; Bacteroidota
Description: bacterial SSU rRNA
Rfam family: Bacterial small subunit ribosomal RNA
Source: RNAcentral